GGUCAAGUUAUUAAGGGUGCAGGGCGGAUGCCUUGGCACUAGGAGCCGAUGAAGGACGUGAUAAGCUGCGAUAAGCUUCGGGGAGUUGCACGUAAACUUUGAUCCGAAGAUUUCCGAAUGAGGAAACUCACUUAGAGUAAUGUCUAAGUAUCAUUAAGUGAAUACAUAGCUUAAUGAGGGGAACUCAGGGAACUGAAACAUCUAAGUACCUGAAGGAAGAGAAAGAAAUUCGAUUCCGUAAGUAGCGGCGAGCGAACGCGGAUUAGCCCAAACCAAUAAAGUUUUCUUUAUUGGGGUUGCGGACAUAUCAUAACGAAGAGGUAUCGUAAUUGAAGAGGUUUGGAAAGACCCACCACAGAAGGUAAUAGUCCUGUAUGUUAAACGAGAAGACUUUAGAUAUGAUCCAGAGUACCACGGGACACGUGAAACCCUGUGGGAAGCAGGAGGGACCACCCUCCAAGGCUAAAUACUACCUAGUGACCGAUAGCGUAUAGUACCGUGAGGGAAAGGUGAAAAGAACCCCGGGAGGGGAGUGAAAUAGAACCUGAAACCCUGCACUUACAAGCUGUGGAAGCACAUUUCUUGUGUGACCGCGUACUUUUUGUAGAACGGGCCAACGAGUUACGUUAAGUAGCAAGGUUAAGCACUUAAGGUGUGGAGCCGUAGCGAAAGCGAGUUUUAACUGAGCGUUCAGUUACUUGACGUAGACCCGAAACCGGGCGACCUACCCAUGAGCAGGAUGAAGCGAAAGUAAAAUUUCGUGGAGGUCCGAACCCACGAGCGUUGAAAAGCUCGGGGAUGACUUGUGGGUAGCGGUGAAAUUCCAAUCGAGCCCGGAGAUAGCUGGUUCUCCCCGAAAUAGCUUUAGGGCUAGCCUCAAGGUGAGAGAUACGGAGGUAGAGCACUGAAUGUCCUAGGGGGUAUUGCACCUACCGAAGACUAUCAAACUCCGAAUGCCGUCAUCUUAUACUUGGGAGUCAGACUGUGGGUGAUAAGAUUCAUAGUCGAAAGGGCAACAGCCCAGAUCGUCAGCUAAGGUCCCUAAAUGUAAGUUAAGUGGUAAAGGAUGUGGGAUUGCACAGACAACCAGGAUGUUGGCUUAGAAGCAGCCACUCAUUCAAAGAGUGCGUAAUAGCUCACUGGUCGAGUGAUCCUGCGCCGAAGAUUUCCGGGGCUAAAACUUACUACCGAAGCUACGGCAUCAGUAAUGAUGGGUAGGGGAGCUUCCCAUACGGGUUGAAGCAUGACCGUAAGGACAUGUGGACAGUAUGGGAGUGAGAAUGUUGGCAUGAGUAGCGAGAUGUGGGUGAGAAUCCCACAGGCCGUAAACCCAAGGUUUCCAGGGGAAGGUUCGUCCGCCCUGGGUUAGUCGGGACCUAAGCUGAGGCCGAAAGGCGUAGGUGAUGGACAACAGGUUGAUAUUCCUGUACUACCGAUAACCGUUUGAGAGAAGGGAUGACACAGUAGGAUAAGCUAAGCACACUGUUGGUUAUGUGUGCCCAAGCAUUGAGGCAGUCAAAGUAGGCAAAUCCGCUUUGAUAAUGCUGGGAUGUGAUGGGGAGCGAAAUUUAGUAGCGAAGUAGCUGAUUUCACACUGUCAAGAAAAGUCUCUAUCGAGGUUAAAGGUACCCGUACCGCAAACCGACACAGGUGGGUGAGGAGAGUAUCCUAAGGCCAGCGAGAGAACUGUUGUUAAGGAACUCGGCAAAAUGACCCCGUAACUUAGGGAUAAGGGGUGCCACCAUCAGGUGGCCGCAGAGAAUAGGCCCAAGCGACUGUUUACCAAAAACAUAGGUUUCUGCUAAGUCGCAAGACGAUGUAUAGGAGCUGACGCCUGCCCGGUGCUGGAAGGUUAAGGGGAUCUGUUAGAGCAAUCGAAGCAGUGAACUUAAGCCCCAGUAAACGGCGGCCGUAACUAUAACGGUCCUAAGGUAGCGAAAUUCCUUGUCGGGUAAGUUCCGACCCGCACGAAAGGCGUAACGAUUUGGGCACUGUCUCAACAACAGACUCGGUGAAAUUGUAAUUCCGGUGAAGAUGCCGGAUACCUGCGACAGGACGGAAAGACCCCAUGGAGCUUUACUGUAGCUUGACAUUGGGUCUUGGUACUACAUGUACAGGAUAGGUGGGAGGCUUUGAAACCAGGACGCCAGUUUUGGCGGAGCCAUCCUUGGGAUACCACCCUUGUAGUACUGGGACUCUAACCAUAGGCCAUGAAUCUGGUCUUGGGACACUGUCAGGUGGGCAGUUUGACUGGGGCGGUCGCCUCCCAAAAGGUAACGGAGGCGCUCAAAGGUUCUCUCAGUACGGUCGGAAAUCGUACGUAGAGUGUAAAGGCAAAAGAGAGCUUGAUUGCAAGACAUACAGGUCGAGCAAGGAUGAAAAUCGGACUUAGUGAUCCGGUGGUUCUGCGUGGAAGGGCCAUCGCUCAACGGAUAAAAGCUACCCUGGGGAUAACAGGCUUAUCUCCCCCAAGAGUCCACAUCGACGGGGAGGUUUGGCACCUCGAUGUCGGCUCAUCACAUCCUGGGGCUGUAGUAGGUCCCAAGGGUUGGGCUGUUCGCCCAUUAAAGUGGUACGCGAGCUGGGUUCAGAACGUCGUGAGACAGUUCGGUCCCUAUCCGUCGCAGGCGUAGGAAAUUUGAGAAGACCUGUCCUUAGUACGAGAGGACCGGGAUGGACAUACCUCUGGUGUACCAGUUGUCCUGCCAAGGGCAUGGCUGGGUAGCUAUGUACGGAAUGGAUAAGCGCUGAAAGCAUCUAAGCGCGAAGCCAACUUCAAGAUAAGAUUUCCCACCGCAAGGGUAAGACCCCAGAAAGACUAUCUGGUUGAUAGGUCGAAGGUGUAAGUGCAGCAAUGUAUUUAGCUUAUCGAUACUAAUAGGUCGAGGACUUGACCAA
Molecule: ribosomal RNA, 2898 nt
Rfam family: Bacterial large subunit ribosomal RNA
Source: Rfam